This is a long non-coding RNA of Populus euphratica (Euphrates poplar), 170 nucleotides long. RefSeq lists it as uncharacterized. The transcript is spliced from 2 exons. The record is from RefSeq and is a predicted model, not a curated record. NCBI's taxonomy places the organism in Eukaryota, Viridiplantae, Streptophyta, Magnoliopsida, Malpighiales, Salicaceae.
GGUCUUUUGGAAUCAGAGUAUUCCCCAGAGUCAGCCAUGUCAAUAUCACCUUUCUCCUGCAUAUGAGCACCCUGUCAUCAUCACCGAUUUUGUCUCUGGAGGAAAUCGAGCACCUAGGCUGCGAACCCCAAAAAAACAAAAACAAAACACUAAAUCAUUAAACAAAAACA